UGGGCCACCAGCUGCCAUGGCCAAAAUGUGGAUGAAAGGCCUAUCCUGUUCAUCCAUGCCAUUCUCUGUGCUUCUCUGGUAAGAAAGAGCCUGCCACCUCUGAAGAAACACCAGACAGAGUUGUUGGAGGUGGUAGUGCCUGGGAAGAAAAUUAAUAUGUGGACCUUUGGGAUUCUUCAGAUGACCCCUUGUAUGAUCCUUUCAACUUAGACUACAGGGAAAUCCAGGCCUGAGAUAGGGGCUGACUUUUCACAGACCUGAAGAGCAGGUACUAAUUAGAAUAUUGG
This 287-nucleotide long non-coding RNA is filed under the name Sarcophilus harrisii (Tasmanian devil). RNAcentral's name for it is "lncRNA (ENSSHAG00000032246.1)". The record is from RNAcentral. Lineage: Eukaryota; Metazoa; Chordata; Mammalia; Dasyuromorphia; Dasyuridae.